GUUCUUUAUCACAUCCUUCAAUAACAUAAAAUACUGUCUUAAUAUCGUUCAAUGAGAUAAAAUACGGUAUUAAUUGGAGGAAUAAACAAAGAAAUAGCCGUAGAGUUAGGAAAAAGGAGAGCCUGUAUCGGGAAGUCGCGUGAGGGUAGAAGGUGGUAGAAGCAUAGAUAGUGUAGUAAGAGGGAUUGGAAACGGACCGCGAUUGUCGGCCAGUCCAGGCUGCGCAGGAAGUUAAUUCACUGCACCGGAAGCUAAUAAUAGUUUCUUCACAUCACCUUGGGAUGGCAGCACAGAUUACAGAGCAGACAGACAGCACAUGAGACCUUGAUAAGAGCUAGAGCUAAAGCUAAGAGCAGUGAUGAGCAUCGAAGAGAAACACUCUACUGAGAUCGAGAAAAGCCACUAAGCCUCUGUUUGUGAAGACGAAGGAUUCAAGAUAUUUAGCAGUGCCAGCAUCAUGUAACUGCACUGACUUUGAGCAACAAAGUUGUAGCUAUGAAUGGAUGAUUUACAAGGGAAAUACAAUUUAAUAGCUAUCACUUUAGCGUAUUGUGUAUUCACACUCUUAUACUCUUAGUGUAUAUAGUUCAUUCGA
Halichondria panicea is the source of this 595-nucleotide long non-coding RNA. RefSeq lists it as uncharacterized. The transcript is spliced from 2 exons. NCBI's taxonomy places the organism in Eukaryota, Metazoa, Porifera, Demospongiae, Suberitida, Halichondriidae. The record is from RefSeq and is a predicted model, not a curated record.